GAUGAACGCUGGCGGCGUGCCUAAUACAUGCAAGUCGAGCGAACAGAUAAGGAGCUUGCUCCUUUGACGUUAGCGGCGGACGGGUGAGUAACACGUGGAUAACCUACUUAUAAGACUGGGAUAACUUCGGGAAACCGGAGCUAAUACCGGAUAAGAUUUUGAACCGCAUGGUUCAAUAGUGAAAGACGGCCUUGCUGUCACUUAUAGAUGGAUCCGCGCCGUAUUAGCUAGUUGGUAAGGUAACGGCUUACCAAGGCAACGAUACGUAGCCGACCUGAGAGGGUGAUCGGCCACACUGGAACUGAGACACGGUCCAGACUCCUACGGAGGCAGCAGUAGGGAAUCUUCCGCAAUGGGCGAAAGCCUGACGGAGCAACGCCGCGUGAGUGAUGAAGGUCUUAGGAUUGUAAAACUCUUUUAGCAGGGAAAUAAUGAUGGUACCUGCAGAAAAGUCUCGGCUAACUUCGUGCCAGCCGCCGCGGUAAUU
RNAcentral lists this ribosomal RNA (487 nucleotides) under uncultured bacterium. RNAcentral describes it as "bacterial SSU rRNA". It matches the Rfam family "Bacterial small subunit ribosomal RNA", at positions 28 to 525 of the family's 1533-position model. The record is from RNAcentral.